Molecule: ribosomal RNA, 153 nt
Filed under: Escherichia coli
Lineage: Bacteria; Pseudomonadati; Pseudomonadota; Gammaproteobacteria; Enterobacterales; Enterobacteriaceae
Description: partial 23S ribosomal RNA
Rfam family: Bacterial large subunit ribosomal RNA (bases 1-136)
Source: RNAcentral
UGCCCCGAGAUGAGUUCUCCCUGACCCUUUAAGGGUCCUGAAGGAACGUUGAAGACGACGACGUUGAUAGGCCGGGUGUGUAAGCGCAGCGAUGCGUUGAGCUAACCGGUACUAAUGAACCGUGAGGCUUAACCUUACAACGCCGAAGCUGUU